AUGAUGCCUGCAAGGACUGAUGUAAGACAUGUAGGACCGGUAGCAAAGUUACUGAAGACUAACCUGAAUUUGCCUCCAGCACACUUCCAAGGUGAUGCAAACAAGGAGAACUGGCCACCAAGAAUAGUUGAAGAGCCAGCCAACAAACUCAAGAGUAGAAGGGUGUUCGGGAUGUGCGAUGACUACUGCCCAGCUCCAAGUUUUGGAGUGAUUUUCGAUGAAUUGGAACCUGUCCUUGAGGAAGGAGAUAAGGACAUCAACAAAUGGGAUGAAGUUCUUAACAUGCAAACAGAGAAUAUCGCAACAUCGAGCAUAAGAGAAGUAAUAAACCUUGAUGAUGAUGUGUGGGAUGCAGAGGAACUAGAGGCAGCGUGUGCUGAAGCAGAACGAAGGGGGAAAGAAUUAGUUAAUUGUGCUAUGUUCAGUACACCAGAGAAAAUCAUCAAUGAAAUAGAUGUGGGGUCAGGUGGUAAGUUUUCUAGCAGUAGCAGUUCAGGGGAGGUAAUUACCAACAAACUUGAGAGGAGGCUCAUCAAGCCAUUAGCAUCUUUGAGCUCACCUUUCACGGGCAUUGACAACAAAAAGGAAUCUUAUUGCAAACCCGAAGUCAAUCGCUUAUAUGCAUCUGUUAUUUUGCACGCAAGGCACAGUGCAGAAGAAUCACCCGAUACGGAUAACAGCCCAAGACUCAUUGAAUUCGAGGGAUACUUUGUAACCUUGAGGGAGCUCGCGGAGUCCAUGAAGUGUGGUGGUUUCGUCAUUUUGCAUGUUUUCCAAGUUGGGUUACAAAGUAUAAUUUACAACUUGCCAGCUAACUCAAAGAAGGUUAUCAUGCGAGUUAAAUUCUCGGUCAGGUUACAACAGAUGAUAUGGAAUACAAAAGAGAUUACUGUCAGGUUUAACAAGUCAAAUCACUUGGACCGAAAAGACAUGAUUAUGUUUCCUAUCCUAGAGAACAUUGACCAAAAAAAACAGUAUCGGGGAAUCAUUACUGAGUGUUCAAUUUGA
RNAcentral lists this ribosomal RNA (1008 nucleotides) under Triticum aestivum (bread wheat). RNAcentral's name for it is "partial small subunit ribosomal RNA". Lineage: Eukaryota; Viridiplantae; Streptophyta; Magnoliopsida; Poales; Poaceae. The record is from RNAcentral.